AUCGAACGCUGGCGGCAUGCUUAACACAUGCAAGUCGAACGAGUGGCGGACGGGUGAGUAACGUCUGGGAAACUGCCUGAUGGAGGGGGAUAACUACUGGAAAUGGUAGCUAAUACCGCAUACCAUCGGAUGUGCCCAGAUGGGAUUAGCUAGUAGGUGGGGUAAUGGGUCACCUAGGCGGCGAUCCCUAGCUGGUCUGAGAGAAUGACCGGCCACACUGGAGCGGGGACGCGGUCCAGACGCCUACGGGAGGCACCAGUGGGGAAUAUUGCGCAAUGGGCGCAAGCCUGGUGCAGCCAUGCCGCGUGUAAGAAGGAGGCCUUCGGGUGGUAAUGUACUUUCAGCGGGGAGGCGUUACCCGCAGAAGAAGCACCGGCUAACUACGUGCCAGCAGCCGCGGUAAUAC
RNAcentral lists this ribosomal RNA (406 nucleotides) under uncultured bacterium. RNAcentral's name for it is "partial 16S ribosomal RNA". It matches the Rfam family "Bacterial small subunit ribosomal RNA", at positions 29 to 526 of the family's 1533-position model. The record is from RNAcentral.